UCGGUCUCGGUUGCUCCACUUCACCUCUGCAGAGGUCGAGGAGCUCUCCGCGAGGCAAGACAGGCGAGGAGGGUUGAAACAGAGGGCGAGGAGCUCUACCCCCUCAAGGCUGAUGGGACACUCGUUGGGGGCACAGAGGGGCUGAGGACCGAGGUAGACUGCCAUAAGUGAUUGCAGCUGCUGAGGCCUUGCAGUUGGAUACAAUAACAUCCAGCAAAGUCAUGCAGAUGACAAGGUGGCAUAAACUGAAUCACUGAUGCGUCUCACAGGAAGAUAUUACAAUUCAUUGUGCAGAGCUGCUGCUGCUUCUUCUUCUCCGGCUGCCGAUUCUCUUUCAGGACCAACUGGAUGGAGGCACAGUAGCUGCAGCAGCUGAGAGGCUGGAAUGUCAGAAUAACAUUCGCCAAUGUCCUGGUGUGACUCCUGACCCGAUGCCCUCCGGUCUCCAACCCUAGAUGUUUGACAGCAACAUACUGACAGAAGUCGAGGAUUCUCCUCUAAUGGGACCCUGCACCACAGAGGAAGCUUUGUCUCUCAUCAAAGAAGAGGAAGUCCUCUGCUGCUGUACGCCGCGCCCCUCAGAGAGCAUGUUACAGACGAUGCAGCAUAUUUCAUGUUCCAGUUAAGGGGAAGAGGGACAAGUGAACAACCCCACCUUUAACCCUCAUGUGACUUUUCAAUGCGUGUCGUGAUUUGUCUAAAGUUUGAGCCUCAGCAACAAUGACCAAUCAAUGAUUGACCAGAGCAGCAGGCAAUAAUUAAUGAUUUUUCUUGAGUUUGGAAUUGAGUAUAUAUUCAGGGGGUCUAAUUAAUUUCCCUUGAACAAUGCAAGUUUUUUGCCUUUUGGAAACAAACCAGGCCAUCCAGCUCAGUGGUUCUCAAAAUGGGAUCCAGGAAAAACUCAUUAGGUUUCCCUUCACCUCCCUCAGCUGUGGUUGAGCUACAGCAGGUUAAAUGUCACUCGGAAAUUAGCGUUCUCCUGGUAGAGCAGUGGACGCCACAUCAGCUGCUACCAUUUUUGUAACUACAUUAAACAAACCCUCUGAAGGCCUCAA
This is a long non-coding RNA of Pseudoliparis swirei, 1055 nucleotides long. RefSeq lists it as uncharacterized. NCBI's taxonomy places the organism in Eukaryota, Metazoa, Chordata, Actinopteri, Perciformes, Liparidae. The transcript is spliced from 4 exons. The record is from RefSeq and is a predicted model, not a curated record.